GAUCCUGGCUCAGAUUGAACGCUGGCGGCAUGCUUUACACAUGCAAGUCGAACGGCAGCAUAGAGAGCUUGCUCUCUGAUGGCGAGUGGCGAACGGGUGAGUAAUACAUCGGAACGUGUCCGUUUGCGGGGGGACAACCACCCGAAAGGGUGGCUAAUACCGCAUAAGACCUGAGGGUGAAAGCCGGGGACCGCAAGGCCUGGCGCGAACGGAGCGGCCGAUGACUGAUUAGCUGGUUGGG
Molecule: ribosomal RNA, 241 nt
Filed under: uncultured bacterium
Lineage: Bacteria
Description: partial 16S ribosomal RNA
Rfam family: Bacterial small subunit ribosomal RNA
Source: RNAcentral